AAUAGAUACCCCGGGUAGUCCACGCCGUAAACGAUGAGUGCUAAGUGUUAGAGGGUUUCCGCCCUUUAGUGCUGCAGCUAACGCAUUAAGCACUCCGCCUGGGGAGUACGGCCGCAAGGCUGAAACUCAAAGGAAUUGACGGGGGCCCGCACAAGCGGUGGAGCAUGUGGUUUAAUUCGAAGCAACGCGAAGAACCUUACCAGGUCUUGACAUCCUCUGCCAACCCUAGAGAUAGGGCGUUCCCCUUCGGGGGACGAGAGUGACAGGUGGUGCAUGGUUGUCGUCAGCUCGUGUCGUGAGAUGUUGGGUUAAGUCCCGCAACGAGCGCAACCCUUGAUCUUAGUUGCCAGCAUUCAGUUGGGCACUCUAAGGUGACUGCCGGUGACAAACCGGAGGAAGGUGGGGAUGACGUCAAAUCAUCAUGCCCCUUAUGACCUGGGCUACACACGUGCUACAAUGGAUGGUACAAAGAGCUGCGAACCCGCGAGGGUAAGCGAAUCUCAUAAAGCCAUUCUCAGUUCGGA
This 524-nucleotide ribosomal RNA is filed under the name uncultured bacterium. RNAcentral describes it as "bacterial SSU rRNA". It matches the Rfam family "Bacterial small subunit ribosomal RNA", at positions 777 to 1297 of the family's 1533-position model. The record is from RNAcentral.